CCGCCAGUGUGAUGGAUAUCUGCAGAAUUCGCCCUUAGAGUUUGAUCAUGGCUCAGGAUGAACGCUGGCGGCGUGCUUAACACAUGCAAGUCGAACGAACCUUCGGGUUAGUGGCGGACGGGUGAGUAACGCGUGGGAAUCUGCCCUCAGGAGGGGGAUAACGGUUGGAAACGACCGCUAAUACCCCAUAUGCCGAGAGGUGAAAUGAAUUUCGCCUGAGGAUGAGCCCGCGUCUGAUUAGCUUGUUGGUGAGGUAAUGGCUCACCAAGGCAUCGAUCAGUAGCUGGUCUGAGAGGAUGAUCAGCCACACUGGGACUGAGACACGGCCCAGACUCCUACGGGAGGCAGCAGUGGGGAAUUUUCCGCAAUGGGCGAAAGCCUGACGGAGCAACGCCGCGUGAGGGACGAAGGCCUCUGGGCUGUAAACCUCUUUUCUCAAGGAAGAAGAUAUGACGGUACUUGAGGAAUAAGCCACGGCUAAUUCCGUGCCAGCAGCCGCGGUAAUACGGGAGUGGCAAGCGUUAUCCGGAAUUAUUGGGCGUAAAGCGUCCGCAGGCGGCCUUUCAAGUCUGCUGUUAAAACGUGGAGCUCAACUCCAUCAUGGCAGUGGAAACUGAUUGGCUUGAGUAUGGUAGGGGCAGAGGGAAUUCCCGGUGUAGCGGUGAAAUGCGUAGAUAUCGGGAAGAACACCAGUGGCGAAGGCGCUCUGCUGGGCCAUUACCGACGCUCAUGGACGAAAGCCAGGGGAGCGAAAGGGAUUAGAUACCCCUGUAGUCCUGGCCGUAAACGAUGAACACUAGGUGUCGGGGGAAUCGACCCCUUCGGUGUCGUAGCUAACGCGUUAA
This 845-nucleotide ribosomal RNA is filed under the name uncultured Prochlorococcus sp. Its description in RNAcentral is "partial 16S ribosomal RNA". It matches the Rfam family "Bacterial small subunit ribosomal RNA", at positions 1 to 863 of the family's 1533-position model. Lineage: Bacteria; Bacillati; Cyanobacteriota; Cyanophyceae; Synechococcales; Prochlorococcaceae. The record is from RNAcentral.